AAUUUUGGACAAUGGGGGAAACCCUGAUCCAGCCAUCCCGCGUGAAGGAUGAAGGUUUUCGGAUCGUAAACUUCUUUGAUGAGGGACGAAAAAUGACGGUACCUCAAAAACAAGCCACGGCUAACUACGUGCCAGCAGCCGCGGUAAUCCGUAGGUGGCGAGCGUUGUCCGGAAUUACUGGGUGUAAAGGGCGUGUAGGCGGGAAUGCAAGUCAGAUGUGAAAUACCGUGGCUUAUCCACGGGGCUGCAUCUGAAACUGUGUUUCUUGAGUGUCGGAGAGGAAAGUGGAAUUCCCAGUGUAGCGGUGAAAUGCGUAGAUAUUGGGAGGAACACCAGUGGCGAAGGCGACUGCCUGGACGACACCUGACGCUGAGGCGCGAAAGCUAGGGGAGCAAACGGG
RNAcentral lists this ribosomal RNA (400 nucleotides) under uncultured bacterium. Its description in RNAcentral is "partial 16S ribosomal RNA". It matches the Rfam family "Bacterial small subunit ribosomal RNA", at positions 360 to 776 of the family's 1533-position model. The record is from RNAcentral.